CCUACGGGUGGCAGCAGUGAGGAAUAUUGGUCAAUGGUCGGGAGACUGAACCAGCCAAGCCGCGUGAGGGAUGAAGGUACAGAGUAUCGUAAACCUCUUUUGUCAGGGAACAAAGGCGGGGACGUGUCCCCGGAUGAGUGUACCUGAAGAAAAAGCAUCGGCUAACUCCGUGCCAGCAGCCGAGGUACUACGGGGGAUGCGAGCGUUAUCCGGAUUUAUUGGGUUUAAAGUGUGCGCUGGCGGUCUGUUAUGUCAGCGGUAAAAGCCCGGGGCUCAACCCCGGCCCGCCGUUGAAACUGGCAGUCUCGAGUUGGAGAGAAGUAUGCGGAAUGCGCGGUGUAGCGGUGAAAUGCAUAGAUAUCGCGCAGAACUCCGAUUGCGAAGGCAGCAUGCCGGCUCCACACUGACGCUGAGGCACGAAAGCGUGGGUAUCGAACAGGAUUAGAUACCCCGGUAGUC
This 459-nucleotide ribosomal RNA is filed under the name uncultured bacterium. RNAcentral's name for it is "partial 16S ribosomal RNA". It matches the Rfam family "Bacterial small subunit ribosomal RNA", at positions 338 to 795 of the family's 1533-position model. The record is from RNAcentral.